Molecule: non-coding RNA, 74 nt
Organism: Myotis lucifugus (little brown bat)
Lineage: Eukaryota; Metazoa; Chordata; Mammalia; Chiroptera; Vespertilionidae
Source: Rfam
GCCAGUGUUUCUCAGUGGUUAGAGAGUUGGCCUGCACACCCAAGGGUUGUGGGUUUGAUUCCUGGUCAAGGGCA